GAUGAACGCUGGCGGCGUGCCUAAUACAUGCAAGUCGAGCGAACAGACGAGGAGCUUGCUCCUCUGAUGUUAGCGGCGGACGGGUGAGUAACACGUGGAUAACCUACCUAUAAGACUGGGAUAACUUCGGGAAACCGGAGCUAAUACCGGAUAAUAUUUUGAACCGCAUGGUUCAAUAGUGAAAGACGGUUUUGCUGUCACUUAUAGAUGGAUCCGCGCCGCAUUAGCUAGUUGGUAAGGUAACGGCUUACCAAGGCAACGAUGCAUAGCCGACCUGAGAGGGUGAUCGGCCACACUGGAACUGAGACACGGUCCAGACUCCUACGGGAGGCAGCAGUAGGGAAUCUUCCGCAAUGGGCGAAAGCCUGACGGAGCAACGCCGCGUGAGUGAUGAAGGUCUUCGGAUCGUAAAACUCUGUUAUUAGGGAAGAACAAAUGUGUAAGUAACUGUGCACGUCUUGACGGUACCUAAUCAGAAAGCCACGGCUAACUACGUG
Molecule: ribosomal RNA, 497 nt
Filed under: uncultured bacterium
Lineage: Bacteria
Description: partial 16S ribosomal RNA
Rfam family: Bacterial small subunit ribosomal RNA
Source: RNAcentral